This 311-nucleotide unclassified non-coding RNA is filed under the name Hevea brasiliensis (rubber tree). The record is from RNAcentral. Lineage: Eukaryota; Viridiplantae; Streptophyta; Magnoliopsida; Malpighiales; Euphorbiaceae.
AUUAUUAUUAUUAUCAUUGUUAUUAUCAUUACUAUUACUAUUAUUUAUCCAAUUUAAUUUAAAUCAAUUGAAACAAUUCCUAAAAAAGUUAGACAUUUUUUUAAACAAAAUCACUUUCCUCACCUCUCUUCCCUCAUGAAAGUGAGGGAAUAGGGGGAGGCAGAGUUCACAGCCCGAACAGGCGGGGGAGGGCUUAGCCCGGCCGGCUUCUCUCCCUGACUCUGCGCCCCUUAUUAUAUGAAUGGUAUAAAAAAAUAUGAAAAGGAGGAUUCUAAACCAAAUCACUUUUAUGAAUGCUUUUUUUUUUUAAA